This 616-nucleotide ribosomal RNA is filed under the name uncultured archaeon. Its description in RNAcentral is "bacterial SSU rRNA". It matches the Rfam family "Archaeal small subunit ribosomal RNA", at positions 381 to 999 of the family's 1478-position model. The record is from RNAcentral.
CCGAGUGCCGACCGCUGAGGUUGGCUUUUACCCAGUCUAGAAAGCUGGGGGAAUAAGGAGAGGGCAAGUCUGGUGUCAGCCGCCGCGGUAAUACCAGCUCUCCGAGUGGUGUGGACGUUUAUUGGGCCUAAAGCAUCCGUAGCUGGCUGAACAAGUCCCCUGUUAAACCCACCGAUUUAAUCGUUGGUCUGCGGGGGAUACUGCUCGGCUAGGGGACGAGAGAGGCAGACGGUAUUCCCGGGGUAGGGGUGAAAUCCUAUAAUCCCGAGAAGACCACCAGUGGCGAAGGCUGUCUGCUAGAACGCGCCCGACGGUGAGGGAUGAAAGCUGGGGGAGCGAACCGGAUUAGAUACCCGGGUAGUCCCAGCUGUAAACGAUGCAGACUAGGUGUUUGGACGGCCACGUGCCGUUCUAGUGCCGCAGGGAAGCUGUUAAGUCUGCCGCCUGGGGAGUACGAUCGCAAGAUUGAAACUUAAAGGAAUUGGCGGGGGAGCACCACAGGGGGUGAAGCUUGCGGUUUAAUUGGAGUCAACGCCGGAAAUCUCACCGGGAGCGACAGCAGUGUGAAGGCCAGAUUAAAGGUCUUGCCAGACGAGCUGAGAGGUAGUGCAUGGCC